Molecule: long non-coding RNA, 1103 nt
Organism: Siniperca chuatsi (mandarin fish)
Lineage: Eukaryota; Metazoa; Chordata; Actinopteri; Centrarchiformes; Sinipercidae
Exons: 2
Source: RefSeq, a predicted model, not a curated record
CACAACAAUGAGAGGGUGUGGCUGACUAUUUCUCAAUACUCUUGAGGAAUAUUGGCCCGUUUCUGCACUGCAUGACACAUAAUGAAACACACUGCACGCAGCUCUGGAUGAUUUUCCAUGACAGGCUUUAUGAAAUGGACUCUCCCUCAACUCAAACUGGUGGUGGAUGAAUCUGGGAUGCAGACAUGCACACAGCGACUCUGCUCCCUCUGCAACAACUGCCACAUCACGUCAUGGAUGGGUAGGGUUUGUUUACUGCUGACUGACAGCUCAGAGGCUAUAACUUCUUGUGAAGCACCAUGCACCCACUGUCUCCUACAUGCUGCUAUCUGGCUGCAGAUUUAAGGACAGACAGAUUAAAAGGGCGGGUACUCGCGGCGCUCUCAAGGCAGCAUAGCCGAGGAGGAGAUUCAUCUACGAGGCUUCAGCAGCAGCAGCACGCGGUGUCGUCAGCCCGGUUAUCUGCUGUCCAGAGGCGCACAGAGAGAGACCAGUGACACCCCGACCAAGCCCUUUCUGUCUGCUCACCCUAAUAUCGCAUCCGCAGGAGAAAGGAAGUCCCGCCUGGAGCUCGGGGUGCGCGCGUUUUGGGACGCGGGGUCGCACGAGUGAACGGCAACAGGAUGUCUGUGUUGUAAACGUGUUGAUGGUAGUAAAACUGCUGCUGCAGAAGAGAGAGAAAAUGUCAAGUGGUAUUUAAUUUAAAGGUGCAAGCUGUAUGUGAGAAAGGAGCAGUGAUGGGAGAUCUGCAGGCCAAGUUCAAACUUGAGACCCUUAUCUCUUUAAAUGAUUUUAAACUUAGAAUAAUGGAUGUGGUCACUGCUGGCUGCAACUAACUAACUAACUAACUAGAAAGAGUUUCCCUACGGGGAUCAAUAAAGUAUUUCUGAUUCUGAUUCUGAUUCUAACUUACACAUGACUAAAUAUUGCUGCCUAGUUAAUGCACUGUGUGCAAUGUAUUUUUUGUCGUACCUAUUGUUGCUGUGAUCUGAUGUUGUGUUGGAUGCUGAUAUUUAACCCUGUCUUGGCUGGUCUCACUUGUAAAACAGGCUUUAAUCUCAAUGUGACUUCCUAAUUAAAUAAAGGUUAUAUAAUAGGCUGAA